RNAcentral lists this ribosomal RNA (466 nucleotides) under uncultured bacterium. RNAcentral describes it as "bacterial SSU rRNA". It matches the Rfam family "Bacterial small subunit ribosomal RNA", at positions 917 to 1382 of the family's 1533-position model. The record is from RNAcentral.
GGGCCCGCACAAGCGGUGGAGCAUGUGGUUUAAUUCGACGCAACGCGAAGAACCUUACCUGGGCUCGAACGGCUUUUCAACGACGGUGGAAACAUCGUUAUCCCGCAAGGGAGUAGAGUCGAGGUGCUGCAUGGCUGUCGUCAGCUCGUGUCGUGAGAUGUUGGGUUAAGUCCCGCAACGAGCGCAACCCUUGUCCUGUGUUGCCAUCAUUCAGUUGGGCACUCUCAGGAGACCGCCAGCGAUAAGUUGGAGGAAGGUGGGGAUGACGUCAAGUCAUCAUGGCCUUUAUGUCCAGGGCUACACACGUGCUACAAUGGGCGGUACAAAGCGCUGCAAACCCGCGAGGGGGAGCCAAUCGCAUAAAACCGUUCUCAGUUCGGAUCGCAGGCUGCAACUCGCCUGCGUGAAGCUGGAAUCGCUAGUAAUGGUAUAUCAGAACGAUACCGUGAAUACGUUCCCGGGCCUU